GCCGACGUAGCUCAGUGGUAGAGCAGCUGAUUCGUAAUCAGCAGGUCGUCGGUUCAAAUCCGACCGUCGGCUCCA
Molecule: transfer RNA, 75 nt
Filed under: Acidobacteriota bacterium
Lineage: Bacteria; Pseudomonadati; Acidobacteriota
Also listed under: 2 other names
Description: Acidobacteria bacterium tRNA-Thr
Rfam family: tRNA
About the family: Transfer RNA (tRNA) molecules are approximately 80 nucleotides in length. Their secondary structure includes four short double-helical elements and three loops (D, anti-codon, and T loops). Further hydrogen bonds mediate the characteristic L-shaped molecular structure. tRNAs have two regions of fundamental functional importance: the anti-codon, which is responsible for specific mRNA codon recognition, and the 3' end, to which the tRNAs corresponding amino acid is attached (by aminoacyl-tRNA synthetases). tRNAs cope with the degeneracy of the genetic code in two manners: having more than one tRNA (with a specific anti-codon) for a particular amino acid; and 'wobble' base-pairing, i.e. permitting non-standard base-pairing at the 3rd anti-codon position.
Source: RNAcentral